RNAcentral lists this ribosomal RNA (142 nucleotides) under uncultured eukaryote. RNAcentral's name for it is "partial 18S ribosomal RNA". It matches the Rfam family "Eukaryotic small subunit ribosomal RNA", at positions 1299 to 1458 of the family's 1831-position model. The record is from RNAcentral.
UGGUGGAGUGAUUUGUCUGGUCAAUUCCGUUAACGAACGAGACCUCGACCUGCUAAAUAGUUCGGCUUAGCGUUCGCGCUAAGUAGGUGACUUCUUAGAAGGACUAUCGGUUUUUAGCCGAUGGAAGUUCGAGGCAAUAACA